This 415-nucleotide ribosomal RNA is filed under the name Micrococcus sp. oral taxon F54. Its description in RNAcentral is "bacterial SSU rRNA". It matches the Rfam family "Bacterial small subunit ribosomal RNA", at positions 28 to 440 of the family's 1533-position model. The record is from RNAcentral. Lineage: Bacteria; Bacillati; Actinomycetota; Actinomycetes; Micrococcales; Micrococcaceae.
GAUGAACGCUGGCGGCGUGCUUAACACAUGCAAGUCGAACGAUGAAGCCCAGCUUGCUGGGUGGAUUAGUGGCGAACGGGUGAGUAACACGUGAGUAACCUGCCCUUGACUCUGGGAUAAGCCCGGGAAACUGGGUCUAAUACCGGAUAGGAGCGCCUGUCGCAUGACGGGUGUUGGAAAGAUUUUUCGGUCAUGGAUGGACUCGCGGCCUAUCAGCUUGUUGGUGAGGUAAUGGCUCACCAAGGCGACGACGGGUAGCCGGCCUGAGAGGGUGACCGGCCACACUGGGACUGAGACACGGCCCAGACUCCUACGGGAGGCAGCAGUGGGGAAUAUUGUCACAAUGGGCGGAACUCCUGAUGCAGCGACGCCGCGUGAGGGAUGACGGCCUUCGGUGUUGUAAACCUCUUUCAUC